Molecule: long non-coding RNA, 530 nt
Filed under: Bos taurus (domestic cattle)
Lineage: Eukaryota; Metazoa; Chordata; Mammalia; Artiodactyla; Bovidae
Description: long non-coding RNA NONBTAT012599
Source: RNAcentral
UGGGGAGGAGAGGGUCUGAGAACCUGAAUUCAUCUGGCACUUACCAUGUAGGUGAACUGCUGGAGCUUCAGUUUCUUCUGGGAGCAUUUUCCUGAUGUGUAGACCUCAAAGGAGGGAGGGAGAUAACAGCCUAUAACAAGCUGUCAACUCAACACAGAAUAUCAAGAGAAGCAUCUAUCAUUCCACUGCUUACAGUGGAUUAACUGCCAAUGAAGUUUCCAAAAAUGAUCUGAUCCAGGGUUAGACCCAGGGCAAGUUCCUACAAGAUGAUGAAAAAUCACAGGGACCAGGUGAGCAGAGUCCCAUUCCAGAUGAAGAUAAUGUGGACACAUUCAUUUCUAGUGUGAGUUUAUAUUUUCAGGCAGAGUCUCUGAAAACCCAUUUGACUCUUUCACAUUUUUGACACCCUUAUUUCCUAUACAGGGCCUGUGAUGUAAGUUUAUAAUUUAACUCAACAGACAUGGGAAACACAUAUUAUUGGCCAAUGUGCUAGAUUAUAUAUACGAAAAGAUGAAAUAUAGUUCUUGAUC